Long non-coding RNA from Gorilla gorilla gorilla (western lowland gorilla), 2870 nucleotides. RefSeq lists it as uncharacterized. The transcript is spliced from 3 exons. The record is from RefSeq and is a predicted model, not a curated record. Lineage: Eukaryota; Metazoa; Chordata; Mammalia; Primates; Hominidae.
AAGUGUCGGGAUUACAGGCGUGAGCCACCACACCUCCCGCACGACCCUGGCACUGUUAAUUUUUUUUUUUUGUUAAACAAAUUUCAGCUUCUUAGAUGGGCUUUCAGGGCUACAGAAAUCGCUCACGUUUUACACCCGCUUACGUAAGUGUGUGUGCGCUGGAGCAGGUGUACACAGGCAUGCUGACUUGGUGCAGGCGUUUCGGGGGGGUAUUAGCUACACAGCAUUUCUCAACCUUUUGGAGGCUGGGGUUAUUUGGCUCUGAAACCUGUUCCCUGGGUCGUGCCCUCUUGUGGAUCCAGGAGAGCAGGGACAUUUGCCUGUGCGUUCACUGCCGUAUUCUUGCUGUCUGGAGCAGUGCCUGACCUGUGGCGGGUGCUUAGUGAGUUAUCCGUGGAAUGAAUGAAUGAGUGAAUGAAUGAGCCAGCCAGAACCGUGCUGGCCGUUGACUGAAAAUGUCUGGAUUCAAUUGACUGAAUCAAACAGACUUAGAGCUUGAGAGGGAAAAAUUAUUUCACUUAGAAAAUAAAAGUUAUUUCUGCAGGACUAGACAUGAAAGGAAAAAAAAAAGAAAAAAGAAAAAAGUUCUACCUUUGCCCCCGCGGUUCUCAGGUUUCACCUGCCGUGGUGAAAUACGCUGUAGGUCACAUGCGUAGGUUUGGCCGCUGGCCGUCCAGUAGUCCUCCCACCCCGGGGGACGGGUGCGGGGGGUGACCCGGUGAAGAGGGCAGGGAGCUGGGGCAGCCUGCUGUGCGGAGCGGGGGGAGGAGGAGGGAGCCCUGGGGGACAGACAGAAGGACCAUCGAAGGAGAAACCCUGCUGGCCUCGGGACCUGGAGGAAAGAACCAGGGCCCGUGCUCCUUGGGCCAGGAUCCAGCGAUCGGACAGAACCUCUCGGAUUCCCCAGUGCCGUGAAAUCCACUUGGGGCCAUCAUACCCUUCGUUGCUGUGCUCCCUGGCAGAACUCGAAUGCAGCGUGAGCUGGGCACUUUUCCCAGGGUUUGCUCUAGGUCUGGGUCUCCCAUCAGCUCCCCCGGAGCAGAGCCUGAGGCAAGGAUUCUUGUUCGGGGGCGUCUUCCUCUCAGCACUGUGCUUUGGGAAUCGAGUGAUGGUGCUGAGUGAACCCCUGAGUGAACAUCUGUGGCUUCCUCCCACCUCGUCUCUGGAUGCACUCCUGUUCGAAUGGGUGUCUGUACGUGCUUGUCCCCUCCGCAUGGUGGCGUGCUCAAUGGUGGCUCCCCACAGAUAUGUCCGUGUCCUAAUUCCCGGAGCCUUUGGGUCUCAUAUAGCCAAUGAUGUGAAAAAGUGAAGGAUGCUGAGAGGAGAUCAUCCAGAUGUCUUAGAGGAUAAAAAUGAGCGGGCAGAUGAAGAGAUACUCAGGGUGAGGUUCGGAAGGUGCACCAGGCGAACCCCAUGGAUGUGGCUCAGAGAGCCUGGGAAACAUGAGGUCUGUGACCUGGAUCAGGCCCAGAGAGACCUGAGCAGGAGGCGUGUGAAGCCCCUGCGCCUGUGUGAGGAGGGAAGCUGUUUCGGGGAAUUUGCCUUUCUUUCCCUGUAGUUUCAGACUAGCUGAUAAAUUACCUAAAAUGUUGCCACAAGAUGCACAAUGUAACCAUCACUCAUUAUCUUCAUGUUCCUGGAAUUUUUUUUUUUUUUUUUUUGAGAUAGAGUGUAGCCUCAUGGCAGCCUCAACCUCCCGGGCUCAAGUUGUCAGAGGCGUGUGAACCAGAGCAACUCCAUCUUGAAUGGGGCUGGGUAAAAUGAAGCUGAGACCUGUGGGGCUGCAUUCCCAGACCGUUGUGGCAUUCUGAGUCACAGGAUGAGACAGGAGGUCAGCACAAGAUACAGGUCAUAAAGACCUCGCUGAUAAAACAGAUUGCAGCAAAGGAGCCGUCCAAAUCCCACCAAAACCAAGAUGGUGACAAGAGUGACCUCUGGCCGUCCUCACUGCCACACUCCCACCAGCCGUGACAGUUUACAGAUGCCAUGGCAACGUCAGGAAGUCACCAUAUAUGGUCUAAAAAGGGGAGGUAUGAAUAAUCCACCCCUUGUUUAGCAUAUCAUCAAGAAAUAACCACAAAAACGGAGAAGCAGCAGUCCUCAGGGCUGCUUUGUCUAUGGAGUAGCCAUUCUUUUUUUUUUUUUCGAGAUGGAGUCUCGCUCUGUUGCCUGGGCUGGAGUGCGGUGGCAUGAUCUUGGCUCACUGCAACCUCUGCCUCCUGGGUUUAAGCGAUUCUCCUGCCUCAGCCGAGCUGAGUAGCUGGGCUUACAGGCACCCACCACCACGCCCGGCUAAUUUUUUCUAUUUUUAGUAGAGCCAGGGUUUCAUUAUACUAGCCAGGCUGGUCUCGAACUCCUGACCUCAUGACCUGCCUGCCUCAGCUUCCCAAAGUACUGGGAUUACAGGUGUGAGCCACCGUGCCCAGCCAGAGUAGCCAUUCUUUACUCCUUUACUUUCCUAAUAAACUUGCUUUCACUUUUACUCUGUGAACUUGCCCUGAAUUCUUUCUUGUGAGAGAUCCAAGAACCCUCUCUUGGGGUCUGGAUUGGCACCCCUUUCCUGUAACAAAGCCAUUCUCCCACCUUAGCCUCCCAAAUAGCUAAGACUACGGGUGUGUGCCACCGUGCCUGGCUAAUUUUUAAUUUUUUUUUUUAAGAGAUAGGGUCUCCAGCCUGACCAACAUGGCAAAACCCUGUCUCUACUAAAAAUACAAACAAAUGAGCUGGGCAUGGGGGCGGGUGCUUGUAGUCCCAGCUAGUUGGGAGGCUGAGGCAGGAGAAUUGAUUGAACCCGGGAGGCAGAGGUUGCAGUGAGCUGAGAUUGCACCAUUGCACUCCAGCCUGGGCACAGUGAGACUCCGUCUCAAAAA